Molecule: long non-coding RNA, 580 nt
Filed under: Numida meleagris (helmeted guineafowl)
Lineage: Eukaryota; Metazoa; Chordata; Aves; Galliformes; Numididae
Description: lncRNA (ENSNMEG00000018090.1)
Source: RNAcentral
AUGUGGAAUGGUGAACAUUUUGGUCUGGGCAUCCUUACUUUGUGCCCAGAGCAGAAGUUCAUUACUGCGUCAUGGCCAGGACUCAGUCUGCAGCAAUGGGAGCAGGGGCAGCUGCACUGUGUUGGGGGAGAACGCGACAGUUCUAGGAAGGCUGAGCAAAUCUUGACUUUGACUCUGAAAUGCACCGGGCAAAUCAAUGGAGCAAACCAGCCAAGACAUGUGAGAUUGGGUUCUGCUUCCCCCAUGUUCCACCAUUGGAUUGGCCUGGUAAGAAACCAGGACUUCAUCUACUGUGGUGUGUUGGUAAAGAAAUGGUAUGAAAAACAGCACAUUCAAGCCAAAAAGAGGGCAGAAAAGAGGACUGCAGAAGGGACCAGAAUACUUAACAGUCAGCAAAGCGAACAGGUAACUUGAUCUGGGAGGAAAUGUUGCGGGUCCUUGGGGAAGCCGAGUUGUGCGUUAUUAGCCAAGUUCAUUCGCAUUCAAGAAAACCCUCAGCCUGUAUUAUUUCCCUAGCACCAAGCCAACUAACAGAAACUGUGAGUUUGUAUGUGUUUAAAUAAACAAAACUAUAUCUCCA